This 1096-nucleotide long non-coding RNA is filed under the name Monodelphis domestica (gray short-tailed opossum). RNAcentral's name for it is "lncRNA (ENSMODG00000034760.2)". The record is from RNAcentral. Lineage: Eukaryota; Metazoa; Chordata; Mammalia; Didelphimorphia; Didelphidae.
UUUGUCAGCCAGCUCUGGGAGAUGCUGCUGGUAAAAAGAGGGGGGAAACCUUCUCUCAUUUUUUUGGCAAUAUAUGCUAUGAUAGCACAUGCCUGGCAUGUUGAGAACAAUGGCCCUUUGUUCUGCCCUAUUCUAGAACAAUAGAUCUGAAGAAAGAAAAACGUGCAGUCUAGAUCAAGAGCUUCUCAUCAGCCCUCCCUCACUCCUACCCACACUGAAAAAGAUAUAAGUAGCCAUAUUGGGGGUAAUGGAAAAGAAGAAGUGAAAGGACAAGGAAAACGCAGGGAACAGAGGUGGGCGGGGGGAUGUAAUCCAAGCUACUUUGUGCUUCAUAGAAGAUUGGGGAAAUUGUAGCGGGGAUGUGAGCAACCCUCAGAAAUAAACCACAACAAAAUAAUGUUCGUGCAUUCUUUGACAUUGAUUGUUCAUGAAGAGAAUUUCCAGCUCAACAAUCAGGACUGCUGCUUGAAAGAUUUCUUUUCCUCCCUGUCAUGCAGAUGAAUAUAUUUUCCAAGUGAAGACAUAAGCAAAAGUAGUUUCAGAAGUCUGGUGGAAUUGCGAAGGAAAUUCUACACAACAAAUGUCAAAGGAGAAGAAACAUGCUCACCAGAGUUGUUCGUUUCCACCAUAGAGGAGAUCCAGUGCAAAGUACAAAUGAAAAAGGGAUUCCCUCCAGAUGGUGGGAGAGAGAGAGAGGUGAAGAGAGAAAAGAAAUCCUGAGAAACUAUGAUACUCUUCUCUUCUUCAAGUAUAUCUUUGCUGUUAAGACAUCCCAAGAACAUUCCUCAGUCCAAGAGAAAUAGCCUUUGACAUCUAUCAGUUCAGUCAUUCUAUUCCACCCCAGUUGCAGGAAAAUGUGUUAGUAUCCUUUACCAGAUCCAGGUUUGUCCACUUAAUGAUAUUCUUGAUCACAGUCAACAGUGAGUCCAACUACCUCAGAAGGCAUUUGGAUAUAUAUGUCUGUGCAGUGGUACAGGGCAGGUUGGUGAGUGUCCUGUGCUGGGAACUUUUUCAGGACAGAACUUAGAAUCAGCAAGACCUGAAUUCAAAUGUUGCCUCAGACACCUACAAUGACAGAAGUGAUUUAAGUGACCUC